UACAGGCUUAACACAUGCAAGUCGAGGGGCAGCAUGGUCUUAGCUUGCUAAGGCCGAUGGCGACCGGCGCACGGGUGAGUAACACGUAUCCAACCUGCCGUCUACUCUUGGACAGCCUUCUGAAAGGAAGAUUAAUACAAGAUGGCAUCAUGAGUCCGCAUGUUCACAUGAUUAAAGGUAUUCCGGUAGACGAUGGGGAUGCGUUCCAUUAGAUAGUAGGCGGGGUAACGGCCCACCUAGUCUUCGAUGGAUAGGGGUUCUGAGAGGAAGGUCCCCCACAUUGGAACUGAGACACGGUCCAAACUCCUACGGGAGGCAGCAGUGAGGAAUAUUGGUCAAUGGGCGCAGGCCUGAACCAGCCAAGUAGCGUGAAGGAUGACUGCACUAUGGGUUGUAAACUUCUUUUAUAAAGGAAUAAAGUCGGGUAUGUAUACCCGUUUGCAUGUACUUUAUGAAUAAGGAUCGGCUAACUCCGUGCCAGCAGCCGCGGUAAUACGGAGGAUCCGAGCGUUAUCCGGAUUUAUUGGGUUUAAAGGGAGCGUAGAUGGAUGUUUAAGUCAGUUGUGAAAGUUUGCGGCUCAACCGUAAAAUUGCAGUUGAUACUGGAUAUCUUGAGUGCAGUUGAGGCAGGCGGAAUUCGUGGUGUAGCGGUGAAAUGCUUAGAUAUCACGAAGAACUCCGAUUGCGAAGGCAGCCUGCUAAGCUGCAACUGACAUUGAGGCUCGAAAGUGUGGGUAUCAAACAGG
RNAcentral lists this ribosomal RNA (746 nucleotides) under uncultured Bacteroidales bacterium. RNAcentral's name for it is "bacterial SSU rRNA". It matches the Rfam family "Bacterial small subunit ribosomal RNA", at positions 41 to 776 of the family's 1533-position model. The record is from RNAcentral. Lineage: Bacteria; Pseudomonadati; Bacteroidota; Bacteroidia; Bacteroidales.